This 253-nucleotide ribosomal RNA is filed under the name uncultured bacterium. Its description in RNAcentral is "partial 16S ribosomal RNA". It matches the Rfam family "Bacterial small subunit ribosomal RNA", at positions 524 to 776 of the family's 1533-position model. The record is from RNAcentral.
UACGGAGGGUGCAAGCGUUAGUCGGAUUUACUGGGCAUAAAGGGCGCGUAGGCGGGGGGAUAAGUCAGUUGUGAAAUCCCGGAGCUCAACUCCGGAACGGCAACUGAUACUGUCUCUCUCGAGGGUAGGCGGAGAAAACGGAAUUCCACGUGUAGCGGUGAAAUGCGUAGAUAUGUGGAAGAACACCCGUGGCGAAAGCGGUUUUCUAGCUUACUCCUGACGCUGAGGCGCGAAAGCAAGGGGAGCAAACAGG